RNAcentral lists this ribosomal RNA (301 nucleotides) under uncultured bacterium. Its description in RNAcentral is "partial 16S ribosomal RNA". It matches the Rfam family "Bacterial small subunit ribosomal RNA", at positions 509 to 809 of the family's 1533-position model. The record is from RNAcentral.
CAGUCGCCACGGGAAUACGUAGGUGGCAAGCGUUGUCCGGGAUUAUUGGGCGUAAAGCGCGCGCAGGUGGUUUAAUAAGUCUGAUGUGAAAGCCCACGGCUCAACCGUGGAGGGUCAUUGGAAACUGUUAAACUUGAGUGCAGGAGAGAAAAGUGGAAUUCCUAGUGUAGCGGUGAAAUGCGUAGAGAUUAGGAGGAACACCAGUGGCGAAGGCGGCUUUUUGGCCUGUAACUGACACUGAGGCGCGAAAGCGUGGGGAGCAAACAGGAUUAGAUACCCGCGUAGUCCCUGUCUCUUAUAA